CAGUCCUGACACACAAACGCACACAGGAACGCAGGUAAAACAGGCAGGACGACGAGGGAGCGCGCGCACGGGACGGACACACAUGCCAGGACGAAGCUGGGACUUGGUCUCCAGGUCAGACAUCUUGGCGUGAAGUGCUUCCAGAGCAUCUUUCUCCUGCUGCAGGGCAGCUACCUCCGACUCCUGCUCGGCCUCCACCAGAGCUCGCUCCAGCUCCACCUCGGAUUCAUCUAUCUGGUUGUCCAGCUCUUUGAUCUUCUGCUCCAGCUCCUCCAUGUUGUUCAGCACCUGGAUCCUCUCCUCUUCCACGCGCCUCACUUCCUCCUCUGAAGGUCCGCGGCGACGGGCUGCGUCGUCUACAGCCUGGGAACCAUUUUUUUUUAGAGUUUUUAGAUUCAUGGUAAUUCGGUGGUGGUGACAUCAAGUUCCAAAUACUAAACACUGGUUUGCUGUGGUGAAGAAGUUGGACUGUGCAUUCUGAAAUCUGAACACGCAGCCAGCUGUAAUCUAAUAAAUGAUCUGGAUAAAACUCCA
Gasterosteus aculeatus aculeatus (three-spined stickleback) is the source of this 534-nucleotide non-coding RNA. The record is from RefSeq and is a predicted model, not a curated record. Lineage: Eukaryota; Metazoa; Chordata; Actinopteri; Perciformes; Gasterosteidae.